This 120-nucleotide ribosomal RNA is filed under the name Thermochaetoides thermophila DSM 1495. Lineage: Eukaryota; Fungi; Ascomycota; Sordariomycetes; Sordariales; Chaetomiaceae. The record is from RNAcentral.
ACAUACGACCAUACCCAGUGGAAAACUCGGGAUCCCGUCCGCUCCCCCAUAGAUAAGCCACUGAGGGCCGGGUUAGUACUCAGGUCGGUGACGACUGGGGAAUCCCCGGUGUUGUAUGUU